This 391-nucleotide ribosomal RNA is filed under the name uncultured bacterium. Its description in RNAcentral is "bacterial SSU rRNA". It matches the Rfam family "Bacterial small subunit ribosomal RNA", at positions 28 to 416 of the family's 1533-position model. The record is from RNAcentral.
GACGAACGCUGGCGGCGUGCUUAACACAUGCAAGUCGAGCGAGAGCCUGGGGGCUUGCCCCCAGGGGACAGCGGCGAACGGGUGCGUAACACGUGGGCAACCUGCCCCUCUCUCUGGGAUAACCCCGGGAAACCGGAGCUAAUACCGGAUACUCCGAUCGGAUCACAUGGCUCGAUCGGGGAAAGGUCCGCCGGAGAGGGAUGGGCCCGCGGCCUAUCAGCUUGUUGGUGAGGUAACGGCUCACCAAGGCGACGACGGGUAGCUGGUCUGAGAGGACGACCAGCCACACUGGAACUGAGAUACGGUCCAGACUCCUACGGGAGGCAGCAGUGGGGAAUAUUGCGCAAUGGGCGAAAGCCUGACGCAGCGACGCCGCGUGGGGAUGAAUGCC